Transfer RNA from Vitis vinifera (wine grape), 74 nucleotides. It matches the Rfam family "tRNA". From Rfam's summary of the family: Transfer RNA (tRNA) molecules are approximately 80 nucleotides in length. Their secondary structure includes four short double-helical elements and three loops (D, anti-codon, and T loops). NCBI's taxonomy places the organism in Eukaryota, Viridiplantae, Streptophyta, Magnoliopsida, Vitales, Vitaceae. The record is from Rfam.
GGGAUUGUAGUUCAAUUGGUGACAACAAUGCUAUUGCAAGGCGGAAGUUGCGGGUUCGAGCCCCGUCAGUCCCA